UGUGGCAGUCAAUGGCGCGCUGGACUUCGAGAUGUGUUCCCUGCCUGUUUCAUUUCAUUGGUGUUGGAAGGGAUCAGACCUGGCAUCCUUGGCCAAUGACCGCGUUCUUGUAAGACUGGGUCCUCUGGUCUAGUGUGAGGACGCGCUUUGAAAAGAGGGAGUUGUGGAGCGACCCUGGUUUAUCAACGAAGAUAUCAACUUCGACUUUGUCACUUGAGCAUGCUUUGGUGGCACAGUCGAUGACGCGCUGGACAAGGCAGCCCGGGAUGGCCCUAAACAGUUUCUCAUGCAUUGUUAACCAACCCGGAUGUGAUAUAAUUCUGGCCACAUGUUGAUUCAGUGGGGCUUCUCCGUGCAGGACGUGGGAAGGGGGUGGGACGCACACACUGUAAACAGGAAUAGGUUCAUCACCGGUCACUGAGUUAGCAAGCUAAAGUUAGCUAGUUAGUCACAUAAAUGUACGUUCAGCCUGUUAAUUAUUUCAGUUUGAUUUGACUUAUCUUACGAAGGCAGCAUGGCUUAACAUAGUUUCUUUCGUUUUUGACCUCGACAUUGUUGCUCGAUAGGUAUUUUCAUAGCUACCAUGCUGUCGCUGUUAGCUAGCUAAUGCUAGCAUCGCUAGCUAACCUCAUAUCUGGAUGCCUGGAAGGUUCCCGAAAGUGAGCAGCAUACUGGCCCUCCAUUCCCAAACCUGAAGCCAACUGUUCCCAGCAGGAAAAACCAGGAAAAGGUGUUGGCUUAAGGUACAACUUCCUAUUGAAGAAAUGUAAGACAACUCAAUGUCAUAUUUACUGAUAUGAAAAGAAGCAUAUACACGCAAUCUAUCAAAUGUAUUUUAUAAAGCCCCGUUUACAUCAGCAGUUGUCACAAAGUGCUUAAGCAGAUACCCAGGUUAAAACCCCAAAGAGCAAGCAAGCAGACGUAGAAGCACAGUGGCUAUGAAAAACUCCCUAGAAAGGCAGGAACCUAGGAAGAAACCUAGAGAGGAACCAGGCUCUGAGGGGUGGCCAGUCCUCUUCUGUCUGUGCUUGUGGAGAUUAUAAAAGAGUAACAUUUUUGGAGAUUAUAAAAGAGUACAGCCAUUUAGGCCAGAUUACUCAAAGCUGUUUCAGCGUUCACAGAUGAUCAGCAGUGUUAAAUAAUAGAGAGUGCAAUAGUUCAGCACCUCAGGUGUAAAUGCCAGUUGGCUCUUCAUAGCUGAGCAUUUAGAGGUUGAGGCAGUAGGUCCGGUAGAGAGAGGCAGGAUCAAACAGCGGGUCUAGGACAAGGUAGUACCUCCGGUGAGCCUUGAGCAGGUCAGGGUUCCAUAGCUGCAGACAUAAACAGCAGAGACUGGAUCAGCAGCACGACCAGGUGGACUGGAGACAGGGAAAGCCAGGAGUCGUCAGGCCAGGUUGUCCCGAUGCAUGGUCCUAGAGCUCAUGUCCUGCAUUUACCGUACUUGUCAAUCCAGAUCUGAAUAUUUGAUAUCCUUUAAAUUGUACGCUGUUGAGAGUAGUUUUGUUCCAAAGCUAAUCACUGAGUGUCCUACUACAAGGAUGUGGUCAGGUUGACACAUCCUUGUCAACCUGACCAAAACAGAACACACACGCAUAUCACAUUGCAAGGGUAAGUACGAUGAGCAGUUGCAAAAAAGAAGUCUGCUGCGUGGGUUGCUAGACACACACACACACGAACAUAAUUCAUUUGUUGUAUUGUAUUUAUUGUGGAUCCCCAUUAGCUGCUGCCAAGACAGCAGUUACUCUUCUUCGGGUCCAGCGAAAUUAAGGCAGUUAUACAAUUUUAAAAACAUUACAAUAUGUUCACAACACAUUAAGUGUGUGCCCUCAGGCCACUACUCUACUACCAUAUAUAUAUAUAUAUAUACACACAACACAAACUCCUUGUGUACGUGUGUGUACAGUGCAUAUGUUAUCGCGUGUAUGCAUGUCUCUUCACAGUCCCCGCUGUUCCAUAAAGGUGUAUUUUUAUCAGUUUUUUUAAGUCUAAUUUUACUGCUUGCAUGAGUUACUUGAUGUGGAAUAGAGUUCCAUGUAGUCAUGGCUCUAUGUACUACUGUGCGCCUCCCAUAGUCUGUUCUGUUUAGGUUAGUGUGUAGUCAAGGCUUUGCCAACCUGCUCGGUGGGUGACAGGUAACCGUCUUUCCACCAAGCUGUUCCAGGCCUGGAGUGGCACGCUGGAACUUCCAAAGGCUUGUAGACCUGAAUGUGUGAUGUGGUCCAGGUACUUAUCAAACACACGUAUACACACUCACUCACUCUGUUUUGUUGUAUAAUUAUUUUAACUUAAGAAAAUUGUUCCUCUCUGUCGUCUGCUCCUGCAUCUGCUACACUGGCCACAACAUGUGAUACAGAUCUGCCACGCCCAGCAGUUCAGCUGCAGUCACAGCAGUCUUCUGCUGUGGUAGUUAAUUUACCAGCUGCACCAAUGCCUUCUACACUGGCCGUGAAAGGAGAAACUUAUGGGUAUUCCCAGAUGGAUACAGAUCUGCCAUGCACUCCACCACUGCCUGACAGCCUCACCCAGAAGUGCAUACACUGGGCCUAUCAGAGAUGGGUGUCUGACAAGGAAAAAUAAAACAUGCACACACAUACACACAUCCACAAUGUAAAUAAGUUGUAAUUACUUGUUUAAUGUUUGCUCCAUUUUAUUGUAGGAUUGGAGAUAUCUACUCCCUCAUAGCCAUGCUCAAUAUCUACAUAAUUACUCAAACUAUCUAUCAAAUCAAAGUGUGAUUGAUAAUAUUGUAAAAGACUUGCUUAAUGUGUAGUUUUAGGACAUUUUGUGUGCUUUUUUUCUGAGUUGAAAAACAUGCCUCAUACACACAUUAGACCCAAUGUAAAUCGGUUGUAAUAACUUGUUUAUUUUAAUGUAUGGUGAAUUUUAUUUGAGGAAAAUAUCUGCAAUAAAGUGCAUUCACAGUUAAAGCAA
Oncorhynchus kisutch (coho salmon) is the source of this 2931-nucleotide long non-coding RNA. RefSeq lists it as uncharacterized. The record is from RefSeq and is a predicted model, not a curated record. Lineage: Eukaryota; Metazoa; Chordata; Actinopteri; Salmoniformes; Salmonidae. The transcript has 4 exons.